Molecule: small nucleolar RNA, 140 nt
Organism: Trichosurus vulpecula (common brushtail)
Lineage: Eukaryota; Metazoa; Chordata; Mammalia; Diprotodontia; Phalangeridae
Source: RefSeq, a predicted model, not a curated record
UAGUCCAUCCUAAUUCCUGCUGGUUACAACUGUACCUGCCAGGUUUCGCUGGUGGACCAAAGUAUAUCAGAAAUCCUCUUUGGGCGCUGUGGUAUAUCUGUGCCAUGGGCUUGCAGCCAGCCAGGGGUCUCUGAACACAG